CCUACGGGGGGCAGCAGUGAGGAAUAUUGGUCAAUGGACGAGAGUCUGAACCAGCCAAGUAGCGUGAAGGAUGACUGCCCUAUGGGUUGUAAACUUCUUUUAUAUGGGAAUAAAACGUUCCACGUGUGGGAUUUUGUAUGUACCAUAUGACUAAGGAUCGGCUAACUCCGUGCCAGCAGCCGCGGUAAUACGGAGGAUCCGAGCGUUAUCCGGAUUUAUUGGGUUUAAAGUGAGCGUAGGUGGAUUGUUAAGUCAGUUGUGAAAGUUUGCGGCUCAACCGUAAAAUUGCAGUUGAUACGGGCAGUCUUGAGUACAGUAGAGGUGGGCGGAAUUCGUGGUGUAGCGGUGAAAUGCUUAGAUAUCACGAAGAACUCCGAUUGCGAAGGCAGUUCACUGGACUGCAACUGACACUGAGGCUCGAAAGUGUGGGUAUCAAACAGGAUUAGAUACCCGAGUAGUC
This 460-nucleotide ribosomal RNA is filed under the name uncultured bacterium. RNAcentral's name for it is "partial 16S ribosomal RNA". It matches the Rfam family "Bacterial small subunit ribosomal RNA", at positions 338 to 795 of the family's 1533-position model. The record is from RNAcentral.